UACGUAGGCAGCAAGCGUUGUUCGGAGUUACUGGGCGUAAAGGGUGCGUAGGUGGCUCUAUAAGUAUGGUGUGAAAUCUCCCGGCUUAACUGGGAGGGUGCGCCGUAGACUGUGGGGCUAGAGUGUGGGAGAGGAAAGUGGAAUUCCUGGUGUAGCGGUGAAAUGCGUAGAUAUCAGGAGGAACACCGGUGGUGUAAACGGCUUUCUGGACCAUAACUGACGCUGGAGGCACGAAAGCGUGGGUAGCAAACAGG
Molecule: ribosomal RNA, 254 nt
Filed under: uncultured bacterium
Lineage: Bacteria
Description: partial 16S ribosomal RNA
Rfam family: Bacterial small subunit ribosomal RNA
Source: RNAcentral